This 465-nucleotide ribosomal RNA is filed under the name Vreelandella stevensii. RNAcentral's name for it is "partial 16S ribosomal RNA". It matches the Rfam family "Bacterial small subunit ribosomal RNA", at positions 338 to 795 of the family's 1533-position model. Lineage: Bacteria; Pseudomonadati; Pseudomonadota; Gammaproteobacteria; Oceanospirillales; Halomonadaceae. The record is from RNAcentral.
CCUACGUGUGGCAGCAGUGGGGAAUAUUGGACAAUGGGCGAAAGCCUGAUCCAGCCAUGCCGCGUGUGUGAAGAAGGCCUUCGGGGUGUAAAGCACUUUCAGUGGGGAAGAAAGCCUUGGGGCUAAUACCCUCGAGGAAGGACAUCACCCACAGAAGAAGCACCGGCUAACUCCGUGCCAGCAGCCGCGGUAAUACGGAGGGUGCGAGCGUUAAUCGGAAUUACUGGGCGUAAAGCGCGCGUAGGCGGUCUGAUAAGCCGGUUGUGAAAGCCCCGGGCUUAACCUGGGAACGGCAUCCGGAACUGUCAGGCUAGAGUGCAGGAGAGGAAGGUAGAAUUCCCGGUGUAGCGGUGAAAUGCGUAGAGAUCGGGAGGAAUACCAGUGGCGAAGGCGGUCUUCUGGACUGACACUGACGCUGAGGUGCGAAAGCGUGGGUAGCAAACAGGAUUAGAUACCCUAGUAGUC